This 82-nucleotide non-coding RNA is filed under the name Spirochaeta sp. RNAcentral describes it as "c-di-GMP sequence". It matches the Rfam family "c-di-GMP-I riboswitch aptamer". From Rfam's summary of the family: GEMM was predicted in a large-scale screen for bacterial structured RNA regulatory elements. The record is from RNAcentral. RNAcentral also lists the same sequence under 1 other name. Lineage: Bacteria; Pseudomonadati; Spirochaetota; Spirochaetia; Spirochaetales; Spirochaetaceae.
UAAACGAAAAGGCAAAGCUGCCGAGCAGUCACGCAAAGCCACGGGUUUCUAUAUUUGAGUUUGUGAUAGCCGGGCUGCCGAA